Xyrichtys novacula (pearly razorfish) is the source of this 10137-nucleotide non-coding RNA. The record is from the annotation of a GenBank genome assembly. Lineage: Eukaryota; Metazoa; Chordata; Actinopteri; Labriformes; Labridae.
CGUUUGGGGGUCAAAGAAGUGGAUGAUGGAUGGUGGCAUGUUAUCCUCUUUUCCUGCAGCAAACAGCAGCAGUGAUGGCUGUCGCUCUCUGCAGCUUUUCAGGCUGCUUAAGUGUGUGAGUGUGUGUCUGUGCACGGACACUAUAUCUUGUGGGUUCGAGGAGGAGUGUAUCUCCGGGCUGCUGAUCUAGUUAGCAGCAUUAGCAUUGCAAAUCAAACACCAGGCUGAAUGUCUGGAGGUGAUUCCAAAAAAACAGUUGCAAAUCAGGUCUGAAACUGCAGAUCUUGUUUUUGAUUUAAUUCACAAUUUCCUUCAUGGAUGCAUGUAUAAACUACAAGUCUACAAAUGGACUUUUGACCAGGCUGAUUAUGCAAAUGAAGGUAUCAAAUAAAGAUCGAGUAAAUGAUUAAAAUCUGGUUUUUAGUCGGGUCUGAGGCAUUUUCGUUUUUGCCUUUCUUACUGUGAUAACUUCAUUUCUUUUUGAGAACAGUUCGCUCGAAUAUUCAUCCUUUGUCUUCCCCGUGGAUCGUUAAAAACAUGGGUGUGGACUCAAACUAGGGUGACCAUAUUUUGAUGACUGAAAACCAGGACAAAAAUCAGGACUUUGCCCAGCCCCUUUAGUUUUCUUCUUCAUCCUAGAGGCCGAAUGAAAAACAAAGAACAAUAAGUUAUUUUCAUCACUUUAUAAACACAGGACAUGUCCCGGAAAAACAGGAUGUUUGGUUACCCUAACUUCAACGCAAAGGGGUGGAACUACAUAUAUGAUCUGCCAAUCAUAUGCAGAGGCUGUUAAAGGGAUAUUCCGGUGUAAAAUUAAUUUAGGGUCAAACACAUCGUAACACCAAGUUAGACACCCCCUCAAGAGAUGAAUGUUGCCGACCGCUUGCCUCUCUAGUUAUACCAACUUUAGUAACAACCGCAUGAUAGCAAUACACAGCAGUCUGAGGAGCCAUAAACAAACCUCAACCAAAACGCCACUCUAUAGCCACAAAUAAUGUUCAGAACAGCACCUAACUUCAUCAACAGGACAUAUAGAGUCCCAGCCAUAGUACUAGCCACCAAACAUCUUUUUAACUUUACCUGAUUUUUAUAGUAAAGAGACUAAACACAACUCACCUACUCUCUUCCAGCAGCCGUUUGUUUGUAGCGAGACCUCGGACCAGUCCACUAUGGACUACAGCGGGGUGUCGCAGCUCAAGGAAGAACAUUUAUGAUCAUUGCUUCAUGGAAAUUCAAUCAGACCGAGACGCUACGGCAGAAGAACGACAGCGUCUGCAGUGCAAAAUGAUUAAUAUGGUGAUUAUUACUUCAAGGAAAUGAUAAAGUAAUUAUCAUAAAUGUUCUUCCUUGAGCUGCGUCACCCCGCUGUAGUCCAUUUGUUGCUAUAGAGUGGUGUUUUGGUUGAGGUUUGUUUGUGGCUCCUCAGACUGCUGUGUAUUGCUAUCUGCAGUUGUUACUUAAGUUGGUAAAACUAGAGAAGCAAGCGGUCGGCAACAUUUGUCUCUCAAGGGGGUGUCUAACUCGGUGUUAUGGUGUGUUUGACCCUCAUUUACUUUUACGCUGGAAUAUCCCUUGAACAGACUGGAGAACAAAAGAAUUGUUUGUAUAUGAGGAUCAGGGGGCAAGUAAAGACUUGGACUGAAGGUCCUGAAAUGUCACAAAGGUGCCAGAUGCAGCUGGAUGCCAUUGGAGAGGACGUUAACACUCGCUAAAUUUACUCUGCAUGUAAACCUCAAUAGUGUAAGCUGCAUUUAGAUGCUGUUAUCAGUCAGGUGUGUAGGUCAGGGACGCUGCAUCCUCCAAUUUUCAAUGCUGGCAUGGUCUGUUAUUUGUGCAUAAAUCAAAUCCAGCUGACUCCUCUUUAGAUGAUACAUCCUUGACUCUUGGAAACAUCACACCGAGCAUGCUGAACAGUCAGAUCCUCUCGUGUAGAUGCUGCUUUAACCAUAGAAUUGACCUCCCUGAAAAAUCUAUCCACAUUAUUAUUUACACCAUGGUCGAGUCGGUACGUCUGUAAUUACUGCGUCACCAGAAUGUUAAAUUUGACACUUUCAGGAUCCCACAGCCAGUCGUCUUUGUAUCUGUAGAGUCAUGUCUUCACAUUUCCAUUCAUGCCUGCCUGGAUGUGAGAAUUAUAUUUCAGAGUGUGUGUGUUAGUGUGUGUGUGGGGAGUCGGUGCGACAGGGCAGACAGCUCCUAUUGCUCUUUUGGAUGAGAGCAGGGCGUCUGCCAGCAUGUCGACAGGCUCACUGGGAGAAAUACUGGAUACAAUCACAGCGUCCGGGUGCGUCGGUUCAGCCUCGGCGUCGUGUGUCUCUGGCUCUGUCUGUCUAAGUGCCUGGAGUCAUGGCAGGGAGCUGGGGCCGCGGCUAAAUCUCUGCGUUUUUGGUUCUUUCCUUCUGAUGGCCAGAUGGAGUUUGGUCUCGAAGGGAAAGAUGAUGUCUGCAUAAUGUCCACGUAGAUUCUCAUUCAUCCAGGUCAUGGUUAUCUUGAAGACUCCAAAGACAGACAACUGGACUGUGUAGAGUUCAGCUCAACUCUAUGUCUGAUUAUGAUCAGAAUAGCUGUCUAACAUUUCUAUAGUGUUCACUCUAGGGCUGGGCGAUAAACCGAAAAUUUACCAAUACCGAAAUUUACGACAAUAACCAACGUCAUUUUGCCCAUGUCGGUAUAAUUGAUGUAGGGUUGCAAAGGGGCGGGAAAUUUUCGGUAAAUUUCCAGAAACAUUUCUUGGGAAGUUAAACUGGGGAAAUUUUGGAAAUAAUCCAAAUUGGAAACUUUUCAUUGGAAUUAUUGGGAAUUUAUGGGGAUUAACUGAAAUUGAGGGUAAUUUAAACAAACUGUAUCAAAUUAAAACAUAAAUGUAAAUAUUUUUCCUUCAACAUUAGUUUGUGUGAAAUGCUUUCAUUGGCAAAUGUGGCAUUUUUCUGUAGAAUAAAAUAACUAAAAAGCUUGUAAAUCUGAUUGUUUUAGCCAAGAUUAUACUACAAUAUAUUUUCCCCAACUUCUUUUAAGUUCCCUGAUGAGAGUCAAUGUCAAUUUUGUAAAUUUCAGAUUUAUUCUUGUUAAUUCCCAUGGAAACUUUACAACUUUGAAAAUUCCUGCAAUUUUGCAACCCUAAUUCAGUGUCCGAAAAAAUAAAAUAAAUAAAAGUUUGUUUUGGAUGUGUGUAGGUAGGCUUUGGUCUCACAUCCCUUUAAGACGUGACUCCACCUCAUCCAGUCCGUAACAAAGAGGGAAAGACGGGUGAGGAGAUGGAGGACGGUUCAAAAGUUAUAGCGGCUGAAGUCGACGAAGUUAGUUAUUGUCCAUUUAUCGUUAUCAAGGUGAACGGCUUAAUAUAUCGUGAUAUUGAUUUGAGGCCAAAUCGCCCAGCCCUAGUUCACUCUCUCAUUAUAAUAAUAGAAAGGGUGAGGGGAGGUAGAGCGUACAGUCUAUCUUAGCGGGGGUGUGAUGUAGCCCACACUUUAAAUAUUGAUGUUGAAUUUUAAAAAGUCUGCGCUUUAUCAUCUUUAUUGAUACACUUCUAAACCGAUCAAUUCUGUAUCAGAUUGUUGACCUACAGCGCUGAUCCCUACGAAGUCGAAUAAGCAGUUUGUCCUUUUGUUUUCGUGUCAUAAAUAGUGUGAAUGUGUGUGUUUGUUCCUGCCUGAAUCGCCCGGCAGUGACGCUGCUGUUUGCACAGACAGAGAUGGAUAGUCAUGCAGCAGAGUAGGGUCAAGGAUUCAGCUGUCUCAGCUCCAGUCUGUGCACCUGCUACACAAACAUACCAGAGCUGAAGGACAGUCCUAUGAGUCCUAUGAAUGCUCUUAUGGAGUGAAAAUUUACUUUAUUAAUAGAUGAUCAUUAUCUAGGUCAUUUAUAUCUGUGUUUCUGACUUCAUUGAAGACCUAGAAAUGAUGAAAUAGAUUCAGAGAGGACAUUAGAGGAACAGAAGUGGAUGUUGUUUGGACAGAGGCACAUAUCUGACCCAACAGAUGUUGGCUGUCGAUCAGCUCUGCCAGUCUUGAAUCGGUCAAUUCGACUCAGCUGUGUUUAUUGAUUUGUGUCAAGCUGUACAUUUAGAGGAGCUGACCAGUUUAUCUUCAUUGCUGCCUGAGGACUGAGGACCCGUGACACUUAGAGCGGCCGCGUUAAAUUCCUUCAUUUAAUGAAAAUAAAAGUCAUGAUGAGAAGCAGCGAUUCCAAUAUUUCCAUAAAUCAGCAUUUUUACAUCCGUGUUAGCAAUUUUAUUCAAGGUCUGAACUCUAACAGUCUACUUAAUGAUCCGUCUAACAGAGCCAGGGUUCUUUUGUUUUUGCAUUAGAAGCAUAAUUGGCAGCAAAGUAAAAGACUCAUGAUUAACACACCAAGAUGCAUGAAGUCGUGAUUAAAAAUCAGGCUCAUUCCUCUAUAAAUUUACAAAAGACAAUAACCGCCACAAGAAGAGACAAAAUAAUUACAGGAGGAAGAUUUUUUAAAUUUCCAUUUUAGCAUUAAAGUCAAAAUUUUUAAAAGUCGAAAUGAAAGAAAUCAAAAUUUCAUCAUUAAAGUCGAAUUUUAACAUUGAAGUUAAGUUUUCAUGAUGAUCAAAAUUGAAACUAUGUAAAUAAAGCCAAACUGUCAAUUUCAAUCUGAGAAUUUUUUUUUUAUCUCAAACGUCGACAUUAUUUACGACAUUUUGACGAAAUGUAAAAAUCGAAAUUUUAACAUUAAAGUCGAAUUUCGAGAUUAAAGUCGAGAUUUUGGGAUUUAAAAAAAUUGAAAUUAUGUGAAUGAAGUCGAAAUGUUGACUUAAAUCGUAAUUUUUUUACCUCAAAAUGUCGACAUUAUCCGCUAUAUUUUGACGAAAUUUUUAAACGUUGAAGUAAAAAAAUGGAAAUUAUGUUAAUUAAGUUGGAAUGUCGACUUUCAUCUCAAAAUCAUAAUUUUUUAAUCUCCAAAUGUCGACAUUGUUCAUGACAUUUUGAUAUUUUGUAAUCUUAAGAUUUCGACUUUAAUCUCCUCCUUGUAACUAAAUAUUUCUCUUAACGUGGCCCUAAUCCUCUUCUGUAAUAAAUUAAAUCAUCUGUAUUCUGUGUUUAAGUAUGAUUUUCUUUUUAAUUAGUUACAGUCUGAAUAAAUUAAAACUAUUGAUUACAGCUCAUUAUAACUCAUUAUAUUUCCCUCACUCUCUAAAUGCAAAGCUCCAAUCAGCUACAACCACAAGCAGAGUUAUUAGCAUCUCGCUCCUCAUCCUGCUGUUGAUUCAGUCCGAGGCGUGCUCCAUUUAACUCGUUUGGGAACAUUUUGUUUUUCUAAAACUCUUCGUUAUGGUAGGAAACCCCGAGUUUUCGUGGCCGUAACGUUGGACGUACUGCUUUAAAUUUACAGUCAACAAACAGGAGGGUGAGGUCACGGUGGCCACGUCCAUGGUAAUGAUCUACAAAAGACGAUGAUCCUCAUGGGUUUGUGGGUUUAUGGAUGAUUGCGGACUUAUAAAAGAGACCUAAAGGACCUUUAAAGAUAUCAAACACACCAACCCCAUUAUUAAGAGACUGAGGAAGCAGAGCCAAGAGAUUCCCGGGCAUUUUCCAUCCAAUCCCUUCAGAUUAUCUCCCUGAGGGUUUGGCGAACUCUGUGCCUGUAGGUGCCCUGAUCCCUUUUGCUGUAACAAAACUGAGGUCUUUUGAUUUUUUUUUCAGUUAACUUUUGCUUCAGAAAGCAAUCCAACCAUAGAAAUAAUGCGCCUCUCAGAGGAUUUAAUAUUGAACUGUCACGCAAGAUCAGCUUCCCAAAUACCAGCCGAUCCCCCCUUCCCCUGCCAAUAAACAAAAGCAGAAAAUGAUGAAUCUGUUCAGGCCCCGAGGCUGGUUUCCAAGAUUUUUGGCUGCAAUUUAUAUUUAAAAAUUCAGGGAAGUGAUCUGAAUAAAAAUCAUGAAAAAAAAAAAACAAUAAUAAAAGUCAGCGAGUCAAAGAGAUAUUUGAAGCAUCAGCUGCACCUUUUUAUCUUCACGUUCUCUUUUCUUCUCGGUUAUUCUUCAUGUUUCUUCUGAUUUUAUUGAACUGUUAAUAUAAAUCAAUUAUCAAAAUUGAAAUUGAUUACUCUACAUCUCUUACAGGAAGUCUGCAUUUCCUGUAACUCAAACUUGAUAGAUCGCACGGGUCAAAGGUACCGGAAACCAUCGAUUUCUGCACAAUGGCUGUAAACAGAAGUCCUCUCACUCUCUCGUCCUACUCUGCACAUCUCUACACACCCACACACAUUUAUUGCUUCAUCAAUAGCAUAAAGGCUUAGUUAAGUUCUUUUAUUGUCAUAUAUAUCUCCUCACACUCACACACACACAUAUAUGCAGAUCCAGAAACAGCUGAAUCAGCGUAUGAGCCGGGCUGCUUACAAAGCUAAAAUGCAUUUUGCUGCCGAGGUGUGUGUUGGUUUUAUAGCCGGGGUGUGUCCCUCAGGAGUCUCGGUCUGUUGCAUCCGGUGUUUUUCUAUAUGUGUGUGUUCAUUGGAGCACAUAUAUUUAGGAAUAUCUGUAAAAAGUUGGAAACUUGAGUCUGCAGUCGUCCUCUGACCUUGCGCUGCGUUAGAAAAGUACUUUGUAAGGACCACAUUUGUUUUCAUGAAAGAAUUUGAAUGUUGCAGUUUUGGUGCCAUGUUUACCAUAAAUAUAGUAAAAAUGAGAAUAAACUGUAGUUUCCUAAUUGUUCGGCCAUUUGUCUAAGUUAAAAAAACAACCCCAUGUAGCCUCUUACAUACUCACCUGUCAAAUUCUUGAAGCGGCCAAUUGAAAAAUCACCGUAAGAAUUUCUCUGGCUGUUAGAUUUUUCAGGUGUUUGUUAACAUUCACCAUCUUCAUACUUUAGUUCUCUGACUGUCUCCAAACACCAAGCGUGAGUAAAAUCAUUCGCGCGAGUGAAUUACAUGUUAAGUCAAUGUAAAGACGCGAUUAGACGCUCCCACUUCGUUGGCAGCGCGAGUGAUGCGAAUUGGGCGGAAGCUGAAAAUGUCUCAACUUAAGCGGAUAUUCCUGUUCCAAUAACUAAUCAGCACAAAGGUUGUGGGGUGACCUAUGAAAACAGACAGUUGUUCCCUGGUAUCUAAAAUGGAGGACAGACUGAUCGUGUCAGUGUGUGGGUGCAACGAAUUAUAUGACACUGUUUCUUUCAGUCACCAAAACCGAAAUAAAAAGGAGCUCGCCUGGAGGCAAGUGAGUGAGGAGGUCGGAUUACCUGGUAAAUCAUAAAAAACCUUUGUCUAUCAUUUGAUCCCGCUGGUUUAACUGUCAGGGAUUACUGUUAAAAUUAAAAUUGAAGCGAGUAAAUACUGUUCAUUCACGUGUCUAGAUUCUGCCUUGGUUGUUUUGUAACUUUAUCUGUUUGGUUCUGGACUAUCACUGUGUCGCUUCAUCUUUCAUCCCCCUGAAUCUGUGGUUAUGAGUGACGUGAUGAGAGGAACUUUUGCUCUACAGAUGUGUUUGUGUUUUCAAUUGUUAGUUGUGAUUGUCUACUUUGGCUUCGAGGUUUAAGUGCAGCUCUGUAUCUAUAGUAGGGCUGUAAAGUCCUGGUCGACUUAUUCGUCGAUACGUGCUGAGUCGACCAAAAUUCUGAUUGGUCGACUCGAUUUUUUUUCCGUGUCAAUUUACAGUCUAUGCUUAAUAUCCUCAGGAGGAACGUACCAAGUGCUAAUGAGGGUGUUUUCAGAGCACCUUUGUUUCACAGGUAACAUCCUGUCUCAGAACACCCCCCUUGUUUCCACCCUUUUGGAUUCGCCCAACCCACUGGAGACCAGCUGGAAGAUAGAAGAGGGUUUUGUGUUGAUAUCGGUAUGUUUUCACCCCACUGAGCUGCGUCGUCCCCCGCUGUCGGAGUCAGAACCCCCCGAUUAGUCGACUUUUGGUUGAAAAUUUGAGGGUUUUAGUCGAUCAAGAACUUCUUUGGUUGAUUACGGCCCUGAUCUAGAGGUCCAUAUCAGGCAGUGAGGGUUAAAUGUUUCUGCAUAUGGAGUUGGAGUUGUUUCUCUAUAUGCUCAAAUCAAUCAUAGUUUUCAUGCAUUGAAGUGUGAUUUAUAUGUCGGAGUCUAAUCUAUGUGGUAGUUUAUGCCAUAGGUUUGUGAAUUUCAUGCAGAAACCAACACGAGUCAAAAUAAUGCUGACUCCAAUCGCUCUGAUUGGUCCAGUGCGUCUCAUUGUACUCGCACCCUUUCCCGUAUCUGCUAUCCACACAGAUUCAGCAUCCAUUAUUUCCUUAUUUUCUUUUCAGUAAUUGCAGCACUAUCAACUCCACCAAUCAUUUAUCAGCUCUAACUCCAAAUUAAUACACGCUAAUCAGUCGCCAUGGUUCCCUGAGCACAAACAAGCAGACUGGGGAAUGGCGAUAUGACGAACAGUGCAAACUCGAGUUUAGGUGGUGUACAACAUCACGCUGACAGACGAGUAUGUAGUGCUCAUGACAGCAAAAGGGUUUUCCUGAGCUUAGCGCUGGUACUUUGCAUAUCUUUCUUGUGUCAAUCAUGACUGUGCAGAAGUUUUAUAAACUCAGCUGCCGCGGAAGUGGAAGCUCAUACACAAACAGCAUGCUGUUACCGAGCAGAUUAGUCGAGGCCGCUGAGCGCUCAUGAUCAAUAUUUGAGGAGCAGCAUGGCCUGGUGGUCACAGAGCAGGUCCUGGACUAGCCUGAUCUCUACUGCAGCAAGGGAGGUGUUGCAGAAGUCUGUUUGUGUUUGCAUUUGCAGAAGACAAAAUAGGUGUCAUAACAAAACAAGACAAAGUUGUGUGUAGCAUUGCGUCAUCACAACACUGAGCUAGUUUUUGCUUGUGACAGCUGUGCAAGGACAACUCUAACAGGCUCUUUUUGUGUUUACCUUUGUUUAUACAAUCACUUAAUGAGUUUAGAUGAUUUUCCCUGAACCUGUUGGAUCUUUCUUGGCGGCGGCGCCCUGAACUGAGCUGAACUGAGUGACGGUUUGUUUUCACAUUCCAAUAAUUCAGCCUCAUCGGGUAUAAAGCCUGUUAUUAGCCCUUCAUUGUCCUCUGCAGAGUAAAAUGGUUUGAACUUUCCAACCUCUCUCAGUUGGAGGAAGGCUGCUGCACUUUUGUAGAAAAUUCAAGGUUCAGAUUCAGAUGGAGGACGCUCCCACUGAGGGGUUUGGAACUCAAUUUUCUGGUGACCCCCUCCAUGUACAAAUUAACAGAGGAAAGGUUGUUUUAAAAAACCAAUCAACAACUGAUUCGAAAUAACCUCCCAGUUUGCUCCUGUUUGGCUGGUUUUCAGAGCGAAGGUUUGCCUGUGUUUAAGGAGCAGAUGUGAGAGCAGAGACAGACUCGACGGAUCAAAUUCUGACUGGAAGACCAUUACAAAUGUGUGAUCGUCUUUUUCUUUAACCAGGACUUCAACAGGCCUUACCAAGGAGAUCUCAGAGACCUUUGGAAUAAUAACAGGUCUAAAACUCGCUGAGGUCCAACCACAGAUGAUGAGUUUGAACUUUAGCCGCUGUGGUUUUUAGAUGGGCGUUUUUAGGUCUAGUUUUUUGUCAUGUCUUGGGGUGUUUGAUCAGGGACAAAGAGAGUACUGAGUAAAGGGGGCCUUCAUAGAGGGGCCUACAUAGAUACAAUAACGAAGGAAAUCAGUCGAGACAAGGGGCCCUAAGAGAACCCCUUUUGAUGGGGUCUGUUUAUUCGUACAAUGGCUCCAAUUGUUGGGGUUUUGGAGCAAGAAGUACCAAGCAAGAACCAUCACAAAUACACCAAAUUAGAACUGUUUAGCAUCUACGGACAAAGGUCAUUUAAAGUCCACCUUUCUUUACACCUGUGAUCUACCACAAAAACAGACCUGACCACGGUCACCGAGAUGUACAAACACGAGUUAAAAGAUCUAUAAGAACUGCUGUCGGCGCCUUCUCGUUGGCCUUGAAAUCUUCAUCUUACACACAGUUAAAACCAUAAUGAACCUGCUGUGAUCGUAAUUGUCAUUAAUUAAGAUUAUUCAUCUCAGUGAAUAAGCCGAUAUUAUCAAAUUAGAUCAUCAUCUUGAAUGUUUUCAACUGCAGCUGCUGGAAACGCAGUAAAAUUACAUUUAAUAUUUCUACCAGGCAGAAUCCUGCAGUCAUCAAUUAUGCAAACUAAACUCACGCUUUGCAUACUCGCACACCAAUUGUGUCGCCCCAAGACAAAUUGAACG